Molecule: long non-coding RNA, 693 nt
Filed under: Triticum aestivum (bread wheat)
Lineage: Eukaryota; Viridiplantae; Streptophyta; Magnoliopsida; Poales; Poaceae
Description: long non-coding RNA (TAES_LNC003876)
Source: RNAcentral
AUAACACAAGAUAAUAAAAGGUUCACCAACAAAGGCAUAAAUAUUGUUCUCAUAGCACAACAUAAUAAAAGGUUCACCAACAAAGGCAUAAAUAUUGUUCUCAUAGCACAACAUAAUAAUAGGUUCACCAACAUAGGCAUAAAUAUUGUUCCCAUCGCUCCAAGAUAAUAAAAGGUUCACCAACAAAGGCAUAAAUAUUGUUCUCAUAGCACAACAUAAUAAUAGGUUCACCAACAUAGGCAUAAAUAUUGUUCCCAUCGCCCAAGAUAAGAUGUAACGAACUAGUUGCCAUACUUGAGGUCAAACCUCCUACGCAACCAACCCAUUCUAGAGUCGGAUGUCAUGUGCAAGAACAUUUCCCUUCGCUCUUUCUUCAGAAAGAGCUCAGUAGCAAUGAAGUGCUCAUCAGUGCCAUCUAUUGCGCCACAAGCACGAACUAAAUCCAUGGUAGAUGCAACAGAGGUGGUCUCAUCUUUCUGUAGGAAAGACUAAAAUGAUGUAUGCGAAGCAUGUGCAAUGGAACUAAUCUUUUUUAUCUCCUCUUGCAUCACUUGUGCAGUCUUUGGUUUCUUGUUCUUCUCCGGAAUCUUGACCCCAAGCCUCACUUUAGAUGCACUAGCUAUUGUCGGAGAUGCUUGCUCUUCGGUAUCAUCCUCCAAAUCAAGAUCGGUGAUUUCAUCAACAUUCAANNNN